GCGCUCGCUUCAGCACACGUACUGAAUCGGAACGAUACAGAGAAGAUCAGCAUGGCCCUUGAGCAAGGAUGACCCGUCACCUCUCCAGGGAGUGUAGUUUGGU
Ursus americanus (American black bear) is the source of this 103-nucleotide small nuclear RNA. The record is from Ensembl. Lineage: Eukaryota; Metazoa; Chordata; Mammalia; Carnivora; Ursidae.